Molecule: non-coding RNA, 480 nt
Filed under: Amborella trichopoda
Lineage: Eukaryota; Viridiplantae; Streptophyta; Magnoliopsida; Amborellales; Amborellaceae
Description: rRNA LSU_rRNA_eukarya
Rfam family: Bacterial large subunit ribosomal RNA
Source: Rfam by way of RNAcentral
UCCGUGCACCUUGAUUAUAGCUUCGCAGUGACAACCUUGAUCGAAUGUGUGGGAUAGGUGGGAGGUGGUGACAUAGAUUUUCCAAUCCUAAAAGAUCAUUAUUUCACUGUGAGGUGGAUAGUUUAUUUGGGGCGGAUGCCUCCUUAAGAGUAAUGGAGGUGUGCAAAGGUAAGCUCAAGCUAAGAUUCUACUUGUGAACGUGAUGGUAUAAGCUUGCAUGACUGUGAGCUCGAUUGAUCAAAUAGAGACGAAAGUUGGCCAUAAUGAUCCAAGAGUCCUGUGUGGAAGGGCUCCCGCUCAACAUAUCAAAGGUCCGUUGUGGAUAAUAGGCUGAUGACUCCCACGAGCUCUUAUCGACGGAGUUGUUUGGCACCUCGAUGUCGACUCAUCACAUCCUGGGGUUGAAGAAGGUCCCAAGGGUUUGGUUGUUCGUCGAUUUAAGUGGUAUGUGAGUUGGGUUAGAACAUCGUGAGAUAGUUC